Molecule: ribosomal RNA, 464 nt
Filed under: uncultured bacterium
Lineage: Bacteria
Description: partial 16S ribosomal RNA
Rfam family: Bacterial small subunit ribosomal RNA
Source: RNAcentral
CUACGGGCCGCUGCAGUGGGGAAUUUUGGACAAUGGGCGCAAGCCUGAUCCAGCCAUUCCGCGUGAGUGAAGAAGGCCUUCGGGUUGUAAAGCUCUUUCGCAAGGGAAGAAAACUUAUCCUCUAACAUAGGGUGAGGUUGACGGUACCUUGAUAAGAAGCACCGGCUAACUACGUGCCAGCAGCCGCGGUAAUACGUAGGGUGCGAGCGUUAAUCGGAAUUACUGGGCGUAAAGCGUGCGCAGGCUGUUUUGUAAGUCAGAUGUGAAAUCCCCGAGCUCAACUUGGGAACUGCGUUUGAAACUACAAGACUAGAAUAUGUCAGAGGGGGGUAGAAUUCCAUGUGUAGCAGUGAAAUGCGUAGAGAUGUGGAGGAAUACCAAUGGCGAAGGCAGCCCCCUGGGAUAAUAUUGACGCUCAUGCACGAAAGCGUGGGGAGCAGACAGGAUUAGAUACCCGUGUAGUC